CGGUAGCACAGAGAGCUUGCUCUCGGGUGACGAGUGGCGGACGGGUGAGUAAUGUCUGGGAAACUGCCUGAUGGAGGGGGAUAACUACUGGAAACGGUAGCUAAUACCGCAUAACGUCGCAAGACCAAAGAGGGGGACCUUCGGGCCUCUUGCCAUCAGAUGUGCCCAGAUGGGAUUAGCUAGUAGGCGGGGUAAUGGCCCACCUAGGCGACGAUCCCUAGCUGGUCUGAGAGGAUGACCAGCCACACUGGAACUGAGACACGGUCCAGACUCCUACGGGAGGCAGCAGUGGGGAAUAUUGCACAAUGGGCGCAAGCCUGAUGCAGCCAUGCCGCGUGUGUGAAGAAGGCCUUCGGGUUGUAAAGCACUUUCAGCGGGGAGGAAGGCAGUCCGGUUAAUAACCGUGCUGAUUGACGUUACCCGCAAAAGAAGCACCGGCUAACUCCGUGCCAGCAGCCGCGGUAAUACGGAGGGUGCAAGCGUUAAUCGGAAUUACUGGGCGUAAAGCGCACGCAGGCGGUCUGUCAAGUCGGAUGUGAAAUCCCCGGGCUCAACCUGGGAACUGCAUUCAAAACUGGCAGGCUGGAGUCUCGUAGAGGGAGGUAGAAUUCCAGGUGUAGCGGUGAAAUGCGUAGAGAUCUGGAGGAAUACCGGUGGCGAAGGCGGCCUCCUGGACGAAGACUGACGCUCAGGUGCGAAAGCGUGGGGAGCAAACAG
This 717-nucleotide ribosomal RNA is filed under the name Kosakonia radicincitans. Its description in RNAcentral is "bacterial SSU rRNA". It matches the Rfam family "Bacterial small subunit ribosomal RNA", at positions 67 to 775 of the family's 1533-position model. Lineage: Bacteria; Pseudomonadati; Pseudomonadota; Gammaproteobacteria; Enterobacterales; Enterobacteriaceae. The record is from RNAcentral.